Molecule: non-coding RNA, 205 nt
Organism: Pelobates cultripes (western spadefoot toad)
Lineage: Eukaryota; Metazoa; Chordata; Amphibia; Anura; Pelobatidae
Source: the annotation of a GenBank genome assembly
CAGGUAGCCAUACAUAAAGUAAUAUUUAGCAAAAUGUGUGGUUUUUCAACGUGCCAAAUACAGAGCACCAUUUAGUGAAUAAGCCCCCUUUUCAUUGGAAGGACAGAAAAAAAAAAAAAAGCCAUUCCCUAAUCCUUGCAGAAGAAAGGUAUUUCACAGCGUGAAGAAGAAAGGGGUCAGUGGCUGUGGAUCGGAGUCGUGUCAG